AGAAAUACCUAGAUACUCUAUAAAAAAUUAUGAUAAAAAUAAGCUAAAUACACUUGAUCACUUCAAAUCUCUACCUAGUAAAAGUAUAUCAAGUAUCACAUUGAAGAAGAAUGAUAGUAGUCAACAAAAUAUUAUAGGCUGUAUCAAUUUAGAAUUUAAAGGAAUAUCUCAAUUAAUAUUCACACCAAGGGGUAAAAAAAAUAGUGAUAACAAACAAAAAAAUACACUAAGUCACAACAAAUCACUAUCUAAUAAAUAUAUAUCUAAAAAAUCUAGGGAGAAUUUAAAUGGAAAUGAAGUUCCACUCAUUUCAGGUAUUAGUCUUAUUUAAAUUAUAUUUAUUUAAAAUCUUAGCAAUUCCCAC
Molecule: long non-coding RNA, 364 nt
Organism: Gordionus sp. m RMFG-2023
Lineage: Eukaryota; Metazoa; Nematomorpha; Gordioida; Chordodea; Parachordodidae
Exons: 4
Source: RefSeq, a predicted model, not a curated record